GGUCGGCCGGGGGUGGUCGCUUUGGGAGGUCGCGAGAUCAUCCGAAGAGGAAAGUCCGGACACCACAGGGCAGCAUGUCGCGUGAAAACGCGAGGGCUGAAGUCGCAAGCCUUCGGUCACGGAAAGUGUCACAGAAAACAUACCACCAGCGUGAGCAAUCAUGCUGGCCAGGGUGAAAAGGCGAGGUAAGAGCUCACCGCUCCAACUGUAAAGAAGGAGGCAGGACAAACCCCACGCGGUGCAAGACAUAACAGAGGAAACGGCCCGCCCUGGCCGCAACUCCGCGCAAGCGGAGGGAUGACCUCGGGUAUUAGUCGCAUCCUGCCUCGGCAGGAGAGCCGGUCGCAAGGCCGGUCACAGAGAAAUGACUGCCAUCUGGCAACAGAGACAGAAUCCGGCUUACACCGGUCGACCCCGU
This 418-nucleotide RNase P RNA is filed under the name Phragmitibacter flavus. RNAcentral describes it as "Bacterial RNase P class A". It matches the Rfam family "Bacterial RNase P class A". Rfam says of the family: Ribonuclease P (RNase P) is a ubiquitous endoribonuclease, found in archaea, bacteria and eukarya as well as chloroplasts and mitochondria. The record is from Rfam by way of RNAcentral. Lineage: Bacteria; Pseudomonadati; Verrucomicrobiota; Verrucomicrobiia; Verrucomicrobiales; Verrucomicrobiaceae.